This 253-nucleotide ribosomal RNA is filed under the name uncultured bacterium. RNAcentral's name for it is "partial 16S ribosomal RNA". It matches the Rfam family "Bacterial small subunit ribosomal RNA", at positions 524 to 776 of the family's 1533-position model. The record is from RNAcentral.
UACGUAGGGCGCGAGCGUUGUCCGGAAUUAUUGGGCGUAAAGAGCUCGUAGGCGGUUUGUCGCGUCUGCUGUGAAAACCCGAGGCUCAACCUCGGGCCUGCAGUGGGUACGGGCAGACUAGAGUGCGGUAGGGGAGAUUGGAAUUCCUGGUGUAGUGGUGGAAUGCGUAGAUAUCGGGAGGAACACCAGUGGCGAAGGCGGUUGCCUGGGGCUUUGCUGACGCUGAUGCGCGAAAGCGUGGGGAGCGAUCCGG